This 837-nucleotide ribosomal RNA is filed under the name Triticum aestivum (bread wheat). RNAcentral's name for it is "partial small subunit ribosomal RNA". The record is from RNAcentral. Lineage: Eukaryota; Viridiplantae; Streptophyta; Magnoliopsida; Poales; Poaceae.
AUGUUUGAGCUGAAGCUCUACAGUUCAGAUGUGACAUACAUGAAUAUGAUUGCAGUGAUGGAAACCCAAGGAUUUAGUGAAUAUGAUCUGUUGUUUCACAUUGAGAAUCCAUAUUUAGGGGAGAAAGGAUUGGAGAUGGUAGAGAGUAAUGCUGAGUUGCAACUAGUAAAGAGGCAGGUUGAGGAGUGUAAGGUUUUAAAUUUGUUAGUGAGAGCAUGUCCACCUCCUUGCAGCCAGUUUGAGAGGCAAGAUUUAUCCACUGUUCCACCUCUUUGCAGCCAGUUUGAGAGGCAAGAAUUAUCCACUGUUGUGUAUGAAGAGCAUGUGUUAUAUGAUCUCAGUGAGCCACCCAUCUAUGCUGUUGAUGAAGAAGGAGUUGCCUUUGAAAGUCAGAGUAGCAGCUUCAGUGUAGCUCAUGGUACUGGUGUUUGCGCACAAGAGAGCAAGAAUGUAAAAGGAAAACUGAAAGCUGUGUUGGAAAUAGAAGAAGAAGAGGGAUAUGAUGGCAGUGGUGGUUCUGAUUGUGAAGGUGAAGAUGACAGUGAUGUAAACCCUUUUUAUAUGGGUGAUGCUGGUGAUAUAGAGAUGGAGGAGGAAAAGAAACAAAGAGAGUAUGAUGAAAUAGAAGAGGAAGAAACAGAUGAUGAAGAAUCUGAGGUGGAAGAAGUGGUGUAUUAUGAGGGUGACACAGAGGUUGAGGAACCUUUCCAAAUGGAUGAAGAUGAGAAAGUUGUUUCACAGGAUGAAGAAACUGUAAUUGUACAGGAAGAGAAGAAGAAGAAGAACAGAAGCUUCCAGUUAGGAAAGGGCCUACAACAAGGACACAUUCAAGUGUAG